GCAGUCGAGCGGACCCGAGGUGCUUGCACCUCAAAGGGUCAGCGGCGGACGGGUGAGUAACACGUGGGCAACCUGCCCAACAGACUGGGAUAACUCCGGGAAACCGGAGCUAAUACCGGAUAGGAUCUUUUUGUCACCUGGCAGAAAGAGGAAAGGCGGUUUCGGCCGUCACUGUUGGAGGGGCCCGCGGCGCAUUAGCUAGUUGGUGAGGUAAGGGCUCACCAAGGCGACGAUGCGUAGCCGACCUGAGAGGGUGAUCGGCCACACUGGAACUGAGACACGGUCCAGACUCCUACGGGAGGCAGCAGUAGGGAAUCAUCCGCAAUGGGCGAAAGCCUGACGGUGCAAUGCCGCGUGAGUGAUGAAGGUUUUCGGAUCGUAAAGCUCUGUUGUGAGGGAAGAACAGUUCGAGGAGGCAAUGCCUCGGAUGUGACGGUACCUCACCAGAAAGCCACGGCUAACUACGUGCCAGCAGCCGCGGUAAUACGUAGGUGGCGAGCGUUGUCCGGAAUUAUUGGGCGUAAAGGGCACGCAGGCGGUUCAUUAAGUCUGAUGUGAAAGGCUGUGGCUCAACCACAGAAUGGCAUUGGAAACUGUUGAACUUGAGUGCAGAAGAGGAGAGUGGAAUUCCACGUGUAGCGGUGAAAUGCGUAGAUAUGUGGAGGAACACCAGUGGCGAAGGCGACUCUCUGGUCUGUAACUGACGCUGAGGUGCGAAAGCGUGGGGAGCGAACAGGAUUAGAUACCCUGGUAGUCCACGCCGUAAACGUUGAGUGCUAGGUGUUAGGGGUUUCGAUACCCGUAGUGCCGAAGCAAACGCAU
RNAcentral lists this ribosomal RNA (822 nucleotides) under Salsuginibacillus sp. U0100. Its description in RNAcentral is "bacterial SSU rRNA". It matches the Rfam family "Bacterial small subunit ribosomal RNA", at positions 57 to 860 of the family's 1533-position model. Lineage: Bacteria; Bacillati; Bacillota; Bacilli; Caryophanales; Bacillaceae. The record is from RNAcentral.